UGGUCCGUUGGUCAAGGGGUUAAGACACCGCCUUUUCACGGCGGUAACACGGGUUCGAAUCCCGUACGGACUAU
This 74-nucleotide transfer RNA is filed under the name Chlamydia trachomatis. RNAcentral's name for it is "tRNA-Glu(ttc)". It matches the Rfam family "tRNA". From Rfam's summary of the family: Transfer RNA (tRNA) molecules are approximately 80 nucleotides in length. Their secondary structure includes four short double-helical elements and three loops (D, anti-codon, and T loops). Further hydrogen bonds mediate the characteristic L-shaped molecular structure. tRNAs have two regions of fundamental functional importance: the anti-codon, which is responsible for specific mRNA codon recognition, and the 3' end, to which the tRNAs corresponding amino acid is attached (by aminoacyl-tRNA synthetases). tRNAs cope with the degeneracy of the genetic code in two manners: having more than one tRNA (with a specific anti-codon) for a particular amino acid; and 'wobble' base-pairing, i.e. permitting non-standard base-pairing at the 3rd anti-codon position. RNAcentral also lists the same sequence under 99 other names. The record is from RNAcentral. Lineage: Bacteria; Pseudomonadati; Chlamydiota; Chlamydiia; Chlamydiales; Chlamydiaceae.